Molecule: ribosomal RNA, 305 nt
Filed under: uncultured bacterium
Lineage: Bacteria
Description: bacterial SSU rRNA
Rfam family: Bacterial small subunit ribosomal RNA
Source: RNAcentral
UGUUGCCUACGGGGGGCAGCAGUGGGGAAUAUUGGGCAAUGGAGGCAACUCUGACCCAGCAACGCCGCGUGAAUGAUGAAGGUCUUCGGAUUGUAAAGUUCUGUGAUGGGGGAUGAACACAAUGACGGUACCCCAAUAGCAAGCCACGGCUAACUACGUGCCAGCAGCCGCGGUAAUACGUAGGGGGCAAGCGUUAUCCGGAUUUACUGGGUGUAAAGGGAGCGUAGACGGCAGCGCAAGUCUGGAGUGAAAUGCCGGGGCUCAACCCCGGCACUGCUUUGGAAACUGUGCAGCUAGAGUGCGGG